Molecule: ribosomal RNA, 387 nt
Filed under: uncultured bacterium
Lineage: Bacteria
Description: bacterial SSU rRNA
Rfam family: Bacterial small subunit ribosomal RNA
Source: RNAcentral
GAUUAACGCUGGCGGCGUGCCUAACACAUGCAAGUCGAACGAGGUAGCAAUACCUAGUGGCAGACGGGUGAGUAACGCGUGGUCAACCUACCGUUGAGUGGGGGAUAACUAGCCGAAAGGUUAGCUAAUACCGCAUACGUCUCCGAGUGGCAUCACUUGGCGAUAAAAGGAGCAAUCCGCUCGAUGACGGGACCGCGUCCCAUUAGCUAGAUGGUGGGGUAACGGCCUACCAUGGCACCGAUGGGUAGCUGGUUUGAGAGAGCGACCAGCCACACUGGGACUGAGAAACGGCCCAGACUCCUACGGGAGGCAGCAGUGAGGAAUUUUCCGCAAUGGGCGCAAGCCUGACGGAGCGACGCCGCGUGUGGGAAGAAGGCCUUCGGUCGU